Molecule: long non-coding RNA, 623 nt
Filed under: Aquila chrysaetos chrysaetos
Lineage: Eukaryota; Metazoa; Chordata; Aves; Accipitriformes; Accipitridae
Description: lncRNA (ENSACCG00020003223.1)
Source: RNAcentral
GACUGGAUACAGCACUUCAGAUGUGAUCUCACAAGUGCCAAAUAGAGGGGAUUAAUCACUUCCCAUUGUCUGCUGGCUAUGAUCCUGUCAACAGAGCGUAAUAUGCAGGAAAUACUUAUGCAAAUCAGCACUCCAUAUAUGAAGAGUUAAGAUCAUAUCAUCUCUUGUUUAAGCUAAUCCAAAAGUAAAUGAGGAACUUAGGAAAAGAUUGCCAACUCCAAAUCAACACAGUUACACAGAAUUGAAAAAGAAGCAUACAGCUUCAUUUGAUGGGUUCUUGCAAGGAACUCAGUGUUCUGCGAUAUGAGCUCUGAAAUCUUCAAGCACAAACUGGACUCAAUGCCAGGUCAAACAAGUUCAGGAGAAGAAAUGGAGAACUGGUCAAAAGAAACACGCAUCCUGGAACUGAAGAAAGAAGACUUUUGUGUUGAGUUUCAGCUUCAUCAGAAUUUUCAAAAAACCCCAGAAUUUUUCAUCCCGGCAGAAGCUGAAGCAUGGAAACUUUCAGAUUUGCCAGUAACCGGUCAAAGAGGAGCAGCCCCCAAUGAUUGUAAUUCCAGUCCUGAAGAGUCAAGGUAAAAACAAAUAUCCCUAUAUAUAGUUUUUCUAGAUUCAAAUUAUAG